Molecule: ribosomal RNA, 415 nt
Filed under: uncultured prokaryote
Description: bacterial SSU rRNA
Rfam family: Bacterial small subunit ribosomal RNA
Source: RNAcentral
GUGUCAGCAGCCGCGGUAAUACGGAGGAUGCAAGCGUUAUCCGGAAUUAUUGGGCGUAAAGCGUCCGCAGGCGGUUUCACAAGUCUGCUGUCAAAGACUGGAGCUUAACUCCGGGCAGGCGGUGGAAACUGUGAAACUAGAGUACGGUAGGGGCAGAGGGAAUUCCCAGUGUAGCGGUGAAAUGCGUAGAGAUUGGGAAGAACACCGGUGGCGAAAGCGCUCUGCUAGGCCGAAACUGACACUGAGGGACGAAAGCUAGGGGAGCGAAAGGGAUUAGAUACCCCUGUAGUCCUAGCUGUAAACGAUGGAGACUAGGUGUGGCCUGUAUCGACCCGGGCCGUGCCGGAGCUAACGCGUUAAGUCUCCCGCCUGGGGAGUACGCACGCAAGUGUGAAACUUAAAGGAAUUGGCGGGG